This 437-nucleotide ribosomal RNA is filed under the name uncultured bacterium. RNAcentral describes it as "bacterial SSU rRNA". It matches the Rfam family "Bacterial small subunit ribosomal RNA", at positions 552 to 989 of the family's 1533-position model. The record is from RNAcentral.
UACUGGGCGUAAAGCGUUCGUAGGCGGUUAUUUAAGCAAGAUGUGAAAGCCCAGGGCUCAACCUUGGAACUGCAUUUUGAACUGGGUAACUAGAGUACUGUAGAGGGUGGUGGAAUUUCCAGUGUAGCGGUGAAAUGCGUAGAGAUUGGAAGGAACAUCAGUGGCGAAGGCGGGCACCUGGACAGAUACUGACGCUGAGGAACGAAAGCGUGGGGAGCGAACAGGAUUAGAUACCCUGGUAGUCCACGCCGUAAACGAUGUCAACUAGCCGUUCGUGUCUUGAUCCGUGAGUGGCGCAGCUAACGCACUAAGUUGACCGCCUGGGGAGUACGGCCGCAAGGUUAAAACUCAAAUGAAUUGACGGGGGCCCGCACAACCGGUGGAGCAUGUGGUUUAAUUCGAUGCAACGCGGAGAACCUUACCAUCCCUUGACAUCC